RNAcentral lists this long non-coding RNA (232 nucleotides) under Canis lupus familiaris (dog). Its description in RNAcentral is "lncRNA (ENSCAFG00845000171.1)". Lineage: Eukaryota; Metazoa; Chordata; Mammalia; Carnivora; Canidae. The record is from RNAcentral.
UUAACAAUAUUUCAGAGUAUAGAAUCGCUGUGUUUGACUCUGAACUCUUUUUUUUGUUUUGUUUUGUUUUGUUUUUUGUAGGUUUCUCUUAGCAGAAAAAAAGCUAAAGAUCAAGAUCUGGAAAGAAUAGCAAAUCUCUUCACCAAGAAACAGUCAAGAAAAUUACUGCUCUCCUAGCUCAAAGAGAAACAUUAAUUAAAGAUCUUUGGAGAACGAUGCAAGAUUCAAGAUU